Camellia sinensis is the source of this 1972-nucleotide non-coding RNA. The record is from RefSeq and is a predicted model, not a curated record. Lineage: Eukaryota; Viridiplantae; Streptophyta; Magnoliopsida; Ericales; Theaceae.
CUCUCUCUCUCUCUCUCUCAACAAACAUGGAUGCCUGCAGUCACGUACAAAUAGACAACUUAACAAAAAUUCUUUGAACUAUUUAAAGUAUGCUACAGGGGUCCUUUUCCUCCAUUUAGCUUUAUCUAGGGGCUUUUAUUUUGUGGCGUCAUAAUGGAUUAGUGACCAGGCCUCUUCUCACAGCCUAAAUCAUGUGUUUAGCCUUCUCCUCGUCUUUUGAAUCCAUUCAACUUGAAAUAUUUCAUUCCUUUCUGGUGUUUCCUUGGUCUUUGCUGUAGACAACUGAAACAUUGCAGUCAACUAUCAUAUAAUGUUCUCAAUUUUGGGUGAAUGAAAUUGUUUCUGUUAAAGCAUUCAGCUCAAAACCACUUGGCAAUGAGUAGAGGGGCCUCUCAAGUAUAUUAACCAAGCUUGGGUGGUUUAGAGAGAUGAUGUGUGACAAGUCUAACACUUCCCCGCACAUGCAACCCGGAUAACAUGUGGAGGUGAUAGAGAGAUGAGAGGGGAGAGAUUAGACUUUGGGCCGAGACUUACCCCCCAAUACCCAUCUUUGAUACUAUGUUAAUGUGUCUUACUCAAAGCCAAUUUGCAAUGAGUGGAGGGGCCUCUCAAGUAUAUUAACCAAGCUUGGUUGGUUUAGAGAGAUAAUGUGGGACAAGUCUAAUAGUUUCAAUCCAUCUUUUGUUCUCUGCCACUUAUUCAUCGAAGCACAUUGCAUUUUAGCUAAGCAAAUUACAGUAAAUGUGCUUUGGAUAGCUUACAUUAUUGUCACCAAUUUCCCCAAAAGCCUAAGCUGUUAGGAAAUGGGCCCAACAAUGUAUCUCAAGUUAUCUAACACCCUCCCUAUGUGCCAAUCGGUCUUGCAUGUGGAGAGACAAACAAAGAACCCCAACAAUGUAUAUCAAGUUAUCUAACACCCUCCCUCAUGUGCAAAUUGGUCUUGCAUGUAGAGAGACAAACAAAGAACCAAACAGAAGGAGAAACAAACAACCAAAUAGAGAGGAAAAAACCAAAUGGGGACAUAAUUCCAAAUGCAAACGGAGAGACUUGAACCCAGGAUCUCUCUCAACUAGAGCUCUAAUACCAUGUUAAGUUACCAAAUUUCCCAAAAGCCUAAGCUGUUAGGACAUGGACUGAACAAUGUAUGUCAAGCUAUCUAACAAUUAUAUACCAUAAUGCAUGGCUACCCUGAUAACCUUAAAACCUUUCGAUUUAGUUUUAUAUGUAUAUGGUGAAUACAAUAGAAAACGCAAAAUGUCUAGGCGCACAGACGACCAAACAUAGAUCCGAACACAGAAACUGUGCAUCUGGACGACCGGCCAGAGCUUGUUGACCGCGGCUGUCAUGGUGUCUUCCGGUCGUUCGAGCGGUCAUCUAGCUGGUCGUCUGGUGGAACAGUUUCUGUGUUUGGCCCUCAGUGUCUGUAGCAUUGUUGCUAGAAAACAUGAAGAACAUUUGUCUUUUGCCUUACUCCAAGUUGCACAUCCUCUUAAAAGAAAUAAACACAAGGAGAACAUGGGUUGAGGUGUUAAGAAAGGAUGAUUUCCAUAAACUUAACUGAUGAUAUGACUUCAAAUGGAGCCAACUAGUGGAAAUUGAUUCAUGUAUCUAACCCUAAAUAAUUGGAACAACAGGUUGUUGAGUUGAGUUGGAGUCAGUAUGACUUCUGGCAUGGCUGAGGAUGACUCAAUAUUGUACAUAUACAAAAUUUCAAUUGUUUAUCAUUUUCUUAUGUUUACUUCACUUAUUUUCUUUGUUGAUGUCAGCUUCCUAAAAGUUAGAAUUGAUGCAGGCAUUACUCUUGUUAGCGUAUUAUAUUAGCCGAAAGGUACACUAGGGUCUGUCUGUAAUCAUUUUAUGCACUCAGGGAUAGCACUCAGGGAUCAUCUUGUAAUUGCCUUUCUUGUAAACCCUAAAUCUUCAUUUAUAAAUAGGGGGUGAUAUUCUAUCAUUCCCCAAGCUGGUUACCCAA